GUGGGGAAUAUUGGACAAUGGGCGCAAGCCUGAUCCAGCCAUACCGCGUGGGUGAAGAAGGCCUUCGGGUUGUAAAGCCCUUUUGUUGGGAAAGAAAUCCUGUCGAUUAAUACUCGGUGGGGAUGACGGUACCCAAAGAAUAAGCACCGGCUAACUUCGUGCCAGCAGCCGCGGUAAUACGAAGGGUGCAAGCGUUACUCGGAAUUACUGGGCGUAAAGCGUGCGUAGGUGGUGGUUUAAGUCUGCUGUGAAAGCCAUGGGCUCAACCUGGGAAGUGCAGUGGAUACUGGAUCACUAGAGUGUGGUAGAGGGAUGCGGAAUUUCUGGUGUAGCAGUGAAAUGCGUAGAGAUCAGAAGGAACAUCCGUGGCGAAGGCGGCAUCCUGGGCCAACACUGACACUGAGGCACGAAAGCGUGGGGAGCAAACAGGAUUAGAUACCCUAGUAGUCC
This 450-nucleotide ribosomal RNA is filed under the name uncultured bacterium. RNAcentral's name for it is "partial 16S ribosomal RNA". It matches the Rfam family "Bacterial small subunit ribosomal RNA", at positions 354 to 796 of the family's 1533-position model. The record is from RNAcentral.